Gordionus sp. m RMFG-2023 is the source of this 674-nucleotide long non-coding RNA. RefSeq lists it as uncharacterized. The record is from RefSeq and is a predicted model, not a curated record. Lineage: Eukaryota; Metazoa; Nematomorpha; Gordioida; Chordodea; Parachordodidae. The transcript has 3 exons.
AGAUAUCCAGCCAACUAGAGAACAUUGUGAGAAGAUAUUAAAUUUAGAUAUUAAUAUAUUUUUAAAUUGCACAAGAAUGAGAAACAUGGAUUUCCAAACUGCCUUGGCUCAUUGGAUGGUAAGCACAAAAAAUAAAAUGUCCUGCAAAAUUUUUAAAUCAAAUGCUUGGUUUAACUUAUAGCAAUUACAAAUUUAUAUAUAUAGAUGUGAUGGUGGCACUUUCAGAAAUUGUUUAUAUCAAUAGUUAGAAAAUCAAACAUUUUAGAUUGCAUAAGAAUAUUUUGAGAAACAUGGAUUUCCAAACUGCCUUGGCUCAUUAGGUGGUAAGCUCAUAAAAAUAAAAAGUCUUGCCAAAUCUUUAAAUCAAUUGCUUGGUUUAGCUGAUAGCAAUUACAAAUUUAUAUAUAUAGAUGUGAUGGUCCUACUUUCAGAAAUAGUAGUUUAAAUCAAAAGUUAGAAAAGCAAACAUUUUAAAUUGCACAAGAUUAUUUUGAGAUACAUGGAUUUCCAAACUGCCUUAGCUCAUUAGAUGGUAAGUACAUAAAAAUAAAGUCCUGCAAAACCAUUAUUAGAAACCCUAUAGGAAGGAUCCAUUUCACAUUGAAUUUUAUACAACUAUAUAUCUUUUUAAUUGGGUAAUUUUUAUUCAUAAGUAAAUAUUUUCAUCUCUUAUC